UCAACCUUGAGCUGGUCAGAAUCGAACUGCUGGCAGCCAGCAACUCAGCAGAAGUAGCCUGCAGUACUGAAUUCUCGCCACUGUGCCCCCAGGAUGUGGUAUAUGCGUUCCUUCUACUGAGGUGUUCUCGCUAAUGGGAUGGAGCCCUUCCUUCAAUUAUCCCCAAUGGUCUCACAGGGCAUUGGGGGCCACCUUUCGUGUUCUCUGCAACGCAAUUUAGCCCUUUGUCUCGCUGCUGCUAUGCAACAUAAACAGGACCCCAUUUGCCUGUUGCUGGAUCCUCAACGUUCAAGACAGCUGCUGGAGCUCAGAUAUUGGCAUUCCUGUCUGGAGGAAGGUAACAGUUGCAAGCUCCUGAUUGCCUACCAUAGGUUUGCUUUCAUUUUAACUGAAUUGUUUAUUUGCUUUGCUUAUUUUGCAUUUAUUGUAAACUGUCCCAGUGUUUGAGUUUAAAUAAGACAUUGAUAUGACUUAUUUAAGCCGUAUCAAUGUCUUAAAUAAAUAAAUUUCAUUAUUUAGGGAAUGCAUAUUUAGGGAUGGAGCAGUGGAUAGAUAGAUCCCUGCAGGAUAUACUUGCUGUAUAAAAUUUCUGUGUUGUAAACUUGCAGUUUUGCUAUAGACUGCAAUCUAUUAUUUAAAAACUAGUACAAAUUAAUGCAUGGUGCUCAAAUAUUCACUACUUCAUUAGCAUUGAAGAUCCAUAUAAAAUAGUGGUUAAGGUACCAAGCUAUAAAUCAUGAGUUCUAAUCCAACUUUGGGCAUGAAACCAGCUGUGUUAUCUUGGGCAAGUCAUCCUCUCUCGGCCCUAGGAAGUAAGGAGUGCAAACAUCUAAAAAUGCCAAGAAAGCUGCAGGGACUAAUCCAGGCUAUUGUCAGGAGUCAAAAUGUGAUUUGAAGACUCAUAAAGGUGACAUUGCUUUUCAUUUGUAAAGCAUCAUUUUUCUCUAGUUAUUGCUGGCAUAGGGUUGCAGAUAGGGAAUAAAAACUUCCUCUCAUUUUUAAGAAGUACUGCAUAUGCAGAUUUUAAUAGGUGAAGCUAUAUUCCGCUACAUUACCACUUAAUCAUUUAUUUAUCUUUCAACCUACUGUAGAUCAAAACGAGACCAAACACAGUUGCAAGUUUAAAAACUCUGCUCCUAAUCUGUCAUAUUUGUUGUGGAAUUAGUAGCAACGCAUUUUUAAAAUACAACAAAGAAAAGAGGAUGACUGAACAAGGGGGACAGUUAAUCUCUGAUCUGAUUAUAGCUUCAAUUUUAUUAUAACAGUGAUGGCUGGCAGAAUUCAUGCAUCAGAAAAAAUCUUGUUUUACUUAGCUUUACGUCUCUGUUGAAUUCAUUUUUAUGCACUCAGACACAAAUUGAAACCCCUUCUAACUCCAUGUAAGAGCAAAUGGCAGGUUUUUCUCUCACAUUAAAAAUUAACAGUAAAAAUGUAGUUAUCCUAUAACAAACAUACAGUAGUUUAGCAGUCUACUGGAAGAAGCAAUGCACAAUAAAAAUUCAACUCUUCCCUAUAGUAUUAGUGCCCUUAUCUUCAAAGCAUGUUGUGGAUUUUCUUUACAGCUACCUUAAAAUUUAAGAGAACAUUAUGGCUAGUUUUUAUAUAGUUUAUUUCAGAAACAUCAAAUUGUGUUGAAAGUAAAGGUUCAAAUCAUUUGCUGCAAAGAAUCCUGCAAAUUCUUUGAAAAUUUGAUUAGGAAAUAUUAUCAAGAGACCUAAGUACACUUCCAAGUUUGCCUCUGGGGCAAAGCAGCCCCUUUGCUAAGAAGUAACUCUUCGUGUGCUUCUCAACUGCUUAAUGAAAGAAAACAGCUAAUCAAUACUAGAUAGGCAGCAUGAAGGAAGUGCCUGCUUGUCACAUGCAGUGCAUUAAUGUGCUCUCAUGGCUUUCAUAGUUAGCUAGCUAUCUCACACAUCUGCUUCAUCUUUUUAAAAUGGAUGCAUCAUCUGACUUUUUAAAUUUUGGCCAUAAUAAAUUAUCCCUCUUGAACUGGAGCCAGAGUAUGUGAAUUUUUAGGGUUACGGGAAACAAUUACAGCAACCUUAUUUCUCUGAAUAAUGUCUUUAAUAUCCCUCCUGCUUUUACAAGGUUCUGUCUGAUAUAACUGAGGACGUUUUAAGAACACAAACUGAAUUAAGAUGCACAGAGAGUCAAAAUGCCCUGAAGACAAGCAAAAUAUUUGCACCAGAUGUCAGCCCUGUGUGAGAGGGAUUCACUGAGCAGUUUUCUGUCAGAUUCUCCUACUGUUCCAAGACGCUGAAUCGUUAUACAAGUCUUCUUCAUAAUCUACCAAUUUUGACCUACAACUGACUUGAAGACUUUAUCUGUAGUUGCCAGGCAACUUUAUAAAAUGCCCUUUAUUGCUAUUCACAUUUGAACUCAGGCUAGCCAAAUAGCCACUUGGAAUUUUUCAGGUCCAACUUCUGGCAAGACCCAGUCCUAAACAUUGGAUAAACAGUAGGAACCCAAGGAGAACCAAAGGAAGAAAGGAUAAAGCUAUCUCUUCAUCUUUGUACCUGCAUAUUUGUGCAGAGAUAACAAUUUUGUCACCAAGACUGAGGAAACGGACUAGAUCUUCAAGGUAUAAUAAAAAACAAAAGAAAU
This is a non-coding RNA of Pantherophis guttatus, 2604 nucleotides long. NCBI's taxonomy places the organism in Eukaryota, Metazoa, Chordata, Lepidosauria, Squamata, Colubridae. The record is from RefSeq and is a predicted model, not a curated record.